Molecule: non-coding RNA, 102 nt
Organism: Acanthosepion pharaonis
Lineage: Eukaryota; Metazoa; Mollusca; Cephalopoda; Sepiida; Sepiidae
Source: the annotation of a GenBank genome assembly
UUACGGCCAUAUCACGUUGAAACACCGGUUCUUGUCCGAUCACCGGAGUUAAGCAACGUUGAUCCUGGUCAGUACCUUGAUAGGAAUACCAGGUGUUGUAAG